GAUGAACGCUGGCGGCGUGCCUAAUACAUGCAAGUCGAGCGAACGGACGAGAAGCUUGCUUCUCUGAUGUUAGCGGCGGACGGGUGAGUAACACGUGGAUAACCUACCUAUAAGACUGGGAUAACUUCGGGAAACCGGAGCUAAUACCGGAUAAUAUUUUGAACCGCAUGGUUCAAAAGUGAAAGACGGUCUUGCUGUCACGUAUAGAUGGAUCCGCGCUGCAUUAGCUAGUUGGUAAGGUAACGGCUUACCAAGGCAACGAUGCAUAGCCGACCUGAGAGGGUGAUCGGCCACACUGGAACUGAGACACGGUCCAGACUCCUACGGGAGGCAGCAGUAGGGAAUCUUCCGCAAUGGGCGAAAGCCUGACGGAGCAACGCCGCGUGAGUGAUGAAGGUCUUCGGAUCGUAAAACUCUGUUAUUAGGGAAGAACAUAUGUGUAAGUAACUGUGCACAUCUUGACGGUACCUAAUCAGAAAGCCACGGCUAACUACGUG
This 497-nucleotide ribosomal RNA is filed under the name uncultured bacterium. RNAcentral describes it as "partial 16S ribosomal RNA". It matches the Rfam family "Bacterial small subunit ribosomal RNA", at positions 28 to 507 of the family's 1533-position model. The record is from RNAcentral.